Molecule: ribosomal RNA, 484 nt
Filed under: uncultured bacterium
Lineage: Bacteria
Description: partial 16S ribosomal RNA
Rfam family: Bacterial small subunit ribosomal RNA
Source: RNAcentral
AUUGAACGCUGGCGGCAGGCCUAACACAUGCAAGUCGAGCGGAUGAAGGGAGCUUGCUCCUGGAUUCAGCGGCGGACGGGUGAGUAAUGCCUAGGAAGCUGCCUGGUAGUGGGGGAUAACGUCCGGAAACGGGCGCUAAUACCGCAUACGUCCUGAGGGAGAAAGUGGGGGAUCUUCGGACCUCACGCUAUCAGAUGAGCCUAGGUCGGAUUAGCUAGUUGGUGGGGUAAAGGCCUACCAAGGCGACGAUCCGUAACUGGUCUGAGAGGAUGAUCAGUCACACUGGAACUGAGACACGGUCCAGACUCCUACGGGAGGCAGCAGUGGGGAAUAUUGGACAAUGGGCGAAAGCCUGAUCCAGCCAUGCCGCGUGUGUGAAGAAGGUCUUCGGAUUGUAAAGCACUUUAAGUUGGGAGGAAGGGCAGUAAGUUAAUCCCUUGCUGUUUUGACGUUACCAACAGAAUAAGCACCGGCUAACUUCGUG